AGCUACCUCAUAAUUUUUGGAAUUUAAUUUGGAGUUGAAAAACUAUUUUGUUUUUAAAUAACAUUGCAUUAGAGGCAAUUAUAUGGACAAAAGUAUUUUCAAGUAUUUUAUUUUGAAGGGAAUUUAGUCCCAAGGGUUGAAUCAUAUUAGGAUAUGAUUCUACUAUUUUUCUAGAAUUUAUUUGAGUUGAUUUGGAGUUUAAAAUCAAAAGUUAUAAAGGAAAAACAGAAAAAGAAAAGGAGAAAAGAAAAAGAACAAAAAAAAAAGGAAAUGGACCGGCCGGCCAAUUUGGGCCGAACCGGCCCCGUCUCCACGCUCGCCCCCGCGUGCGCGCGUCGACCCUGCCGCAAACCGGCCCCGCCUCGCGACCCUGCCCAACCGCAGCCCCGCCCAGCCCGCCGCUGCCCGCGAGCACAACGGUCCCUGACAGGUGGGGCCCACUUGUCAGUCAUCUUCAAGCUCUGCCCACGAAUCCAGCGCACGCCGCCAUUAAGCCUCAUCUUCAAUUCGCAAUUUAGGGCGCCGUCUUAAAGCUCCUCUCGUGUCACUAUAUAAAGCACCCUCCCCUCUCUUUUCUCCCCUGCACCCCAUCACUCCACUUGCACCCACGCUGCCACAAUUGCUCGUAGGAGCUAGGCGUCCGCGCCGGCCGUCGUUGCUUGCCGCCCUCAAACCGGUGAGUAUUCGACCAAGUGCGUGUCAAUUUCCUUCUCCUCUUAUUCUUGCGCACAUUUUGACACGCCCCGUUCUUUGUUUGAUGCCCCGACGCAACCCGAAGCCGUUCACCGGAGCUCCGCUGCUGCUGUUCUUCGUUGAGCUAGGCGCCAUCCUCAUCAUCUUCGGAGCAAGCCGACCGCGUCACCCUCACCGCCUCGUCGCGCCGCCCCUCACGACGUCUUCCCCACGGACGUAAAAAAUGAUUUAAAAACUAUAUUGGAC
Molecule: long non-coding RNA, 939 nt
Filed under: Brachypodium distachyon (stiff brome)
Lineage: Eukaryota; Viridiplantae; Streptophyta; Magnoliopsida; Poales; Poaceae
Description: long non-coding RNA (BDIS_LNC004858)
Source: RNAcentral